Molecule: long non-coding RNA, 1287 nt
Filed under: Gallus gallus (chicken)
Lineage: Eukaryota; Metazoa; Chordata; Aves; Galliformes; Phasianidae
Description: lncRNA (ENSGALG00010015658.1)
Source: RNAcentral
AACCCUAACACCCAGCAUCAAUUGACUUUUGGUGAUGGUGGUGUCAAACGGAUCAGAGGUGACCAAGCUUCCUUCUUCUGAGGGCAGACUGCCAGUACCAAAGUGGUGUUGCUAUGGAGAAUUCCAAGUACAGUGUUGGACAAUCACGGCCUUUUAACCUCUGCCAUGGACAGUAACUACAGCCAGCAUGUCGUCCAUGCUUUAACCAAGAAACGGGCAUAGCAUGGAAAGCAGUGCUCCAUUGGAAGGUGAAAAGCCAUCACCUUCAAGAGGAGGAAGGCAACGACAAGAUCAACCACAGUCCAGGAUGGUUGUGUUAAAGCCAUGUUGUCCCUGCUCCAAUGUCCUGGAGUCUAUGGGCUGGAGGCAACGCUUUAAGAGUUUUAACAAAUGUGGAAUUGCAAUGUUUGGACGUCUGGAGGUCUAUAUCCUAUGUACCACAUGGUACAAAAUGUGCUGGAAUUAAAAAAAAAAAAAAAAAGAAAAGGAGUAAUAAUACUUUAACUGACUGGUCUUAGGGAGAAAUCACACAGUUUCAGGCUGUUAGACACUAAUAAGUUACUAAAAAAUCUUACACUUAUUCUUACAUUUCAUAUUAUGGUUGAAAGCUUCUGCUUGUUAACAUGAAUCUCUCCAUUGCAAAGUAUUCAGAUGUUAAAUACCAAGAAAAUAUGACUACGUUUUAGAACUAAAUGUUAGCCUGAAAUGCACAGGGCACACUUUGGCCUUACUGCCUACAUCUUUCUGUGCACUGCAGUAGAUAUUAUUUCACUUUUUAUAUAAGCUACAAUUCAAGUUCCCCCCCUCAAAGAUAUUUCAGCCUUUACUUAGUACCUCAUUAUUUUAAUAUAUUCAACUGAAAGCAGCAAAUAUGAGCACAGGAGCAGCAGCAAAGAAAUGCCAAGCUGCUUCCUGCACGCUCCACACCAUCACUCAGCUUGUCUGUGUCCUUCUUCCUGUGUUAAAGGGAGGUGUGGCAAGGCUUCUCCAUGAGCAAGGCUUUCCCCAUGCUUUGAAGAGCUCAAAGAGAACUGGGAUUUGGCUUGGAGAGACGAUGUGCUCCCACAGCUCUGUUUUGGUCAUUUUUUCUCUUUUAGGCUAAGAGACAAACUAACUCACCCAUUGUGUAGCUGCUGAGGUCUCCAGAUAAAGUGCUAUAAGAGUGCCACACACUAUUAUUCUUUUAUUAUGGAGCAGCCAUAGCUUUUCAAGAGUUAUUGUGGAUUUUUAUAUGUUUUCCUAUUGCCUUUUGUCUUCUAGUAGCAGUCCUGUGGUUUUGAGAGCUUC